This 510-nucleotide ribosomal RNA is filed under the name uncultured bacterium. RNAcentral describes it as "partial 16S ribosomal RNA". It matches the Rfam family "Bacterial small subunit ribosomal RNA", at positions 28 to 507 of the family's 1533-position model. The record is from RNAcentral.
GACGAACGCUGGCGGCGUGCUUAACACAUGCAAGUCGAACGAAGAGCGAUGGAAGCUUGCUUCUAUCGAUCUUAGUGGCGAACGGGUGAGUAACGCGUAAUCAACCUGCCCUUCAGAGGGGGACAACAGUUGGAAACGACUGCUAAUACCGCAUACGAUCUAACCUCGGCAUCGAGGAAAGAUGAAAGGUGGCCUCUAUGUAUAAGCUAUCACUGAAGGAGGGGAUUGCGUCUGAUUAGCUAGUUGGAGGGGUAACGGCCCACCAAGGCGAUGAUCAGUAGCCGGUCUGAGAGGAUGAACGGCCACAUUGGGACUGAGACACGGCCCAGACUCCUACGGGAGGCAGCAGUGGGGAAUCUUCCGCAAUGGACGAAAGUCUGACGGAGCAACGCCGCGUGAGUGAUGACGGCCUUCGGGUUGUAAAGCUCUGUUAAUCGGGACGAAAGGCCUUCUUGCGAAUAGUGAGAAGGAUUGACGGUACCGGAAUAGAAAGCCACGGCUAACUACGUG